This 445-nucleotide ribosomal RNA is filed under the name uncultured bacterium. RNAcentral describes it as "partial 16S ribosomal RNA". It matches the Rfam family "Bacterial small subunit ribosomal RNA", at positions 354 to 796 of the family's 1533-position model. The record is from RNAcentral.
GUAGGGAAUAUUGGGCAAUGGAUGCAAGUCUGACCCAGCCAUCCCGCGUGCCGGAAGAAGGCCCUCAGGGUUGUAAACGGCUUUUGACGGUGAAGAACCGACAGGAUGCGUCCUGUUUUGACGGUAGCCGUUGAAUAAGCACCGGCUAACUCCGUGCCAGCAGCCGCGGUAAUCCGGAGGGUGCGAGCGUUGUCAGGAUUUAUUGGGUUUAAAGGGUGCGUAGGCUGGAAGGUCAGUCAGCGGUGAAAAGCUAGCGCUUAACGAUAGUCUUGCCGCAGAUACUUCCUUUCUUGGAUGAGGAGGAGGCCACUGGAACGGAUGGUGUAGCGGUGAAAUGCAUAGAUAUCAUCCAGAACACCGAUUGCGAAGGCAGGUGGCUGUACCUUAAUCGACGCUGAUGCACGAAAGCAUGGGGAGCAAACAGGAUUAGAAACCCCAGUAGUCC